RNAcentral lists this ribosomal RNA (201 nucleotides) under uncultured bacterium. RNAcentral describes it as "partial 16S ribosomal RNA". It matches the Rfam family "Bacterial small subunit ribosomal RNA", at positions 1300 to 1500 of the family's 1533-position model. The record is from RNAcentral.
GCAGGCUGCAACUCGCCUGCGUCAAGUUGGAAUUGCUAGUAAUCGCGGAUCAGCAUGCCGCGGUGAAUACGUUCCCGGGCCUUGUACACACCGCCCGUCACACCAUGAGAGUCGGGAACACCCGAAGUCCGUAGUCUAACCGCAAGGAGGGCGCGGCCGAAGGUGGGUUCGAUAAUUGUGGUGAAGUCGUAACAAGGUAUC